Molecule: ribosomal RNA, 566 nt
Filed under: Salmonella enterica subsp. enterica serovar Abony
Lineage: Bacteria; Pseudomonadati; Pseudomonadota; Gammaproteobacteria; Enterobacterales; Enterobacteriaceae
Description: partial 23S ribosomal RNA
Rfam family: Bacterial large subunit ribosomal RNA
Source: RNAcentral
UGGUGGGUAGUUUGACUGGGGCGGUCUCCUCCUAAAGAGUAACGGAGGAGCACGAAGGUUGGCUAAUCCUGGUCGGACAUCAGGAGGUUAGUGCAAUGGCAUAAGCCAGCUUGACUGCGAGCGUGACGGCGCGAGCAGGUGCGAAAGCAGGUCAUAGUGAUCCGGUGGUUCUGAAUGGAAGGGCCAUCGCUCAACGGAUAAAAGGUACUCCGGGGAUAACAGGCUGAUACCGCCCAAGAGUUCAUAUCGACGGCGGUGUUUGGCACCUCGAUGUCGGCUCAUCACAUCCUGGGGCUGAAGUAGGUCCCAAGGGUAUGGCUGUUCGCCAUUUAAAGUGGUACGCGAGCUGGGUUUAGAACGUCGUGAGACAGUUCGGUCCCUAUCUGCCGUGGGCGCUGGAGAAUUGAGGGGGGCUGCUCCUAGUACGAGAGGACCGGAGUGGACGCAUCACUGGUGUUCGGGUUGUCAUGCCAAUGGCACUGCCCGGUAGCUAAAUGCGGAAGAGAUAAGUGCUGAAAGCAUCUAAGCACGAAACUUGCCCCGAGAUGAGUUCUCCCUGAGACUUA